GCAACAGUGGUUCUGUGGUAGGAUUCUCACCUUCCACGUGGGAGACCCGGGUUCUGUUCCCGGUAUAUGCG
RNAcentral lists this transfer RNA (71 nucleotides) under Loxodonta africana (African savanna elephant). It matches the Rfam family "tRNA". From Rfam's summary of the family: Transfer RNA (tRNA) molecules are approximately 80 nucleotides in length. Their secondary structure includes four short double-helical elements and three loops (D, anti-codon, and T loops). Further hydrogen bonds mediate the characteristic L-shaped molecular structure. tRNAs have two regions of fundamental functional importance: the anti-codon, which is responsible for specific mRNA codon recognition, and the 3' end, to which the tRNAs corresponding amino acid is attached (by aminoacyl-tRNA synthetases). tRNAs cope with the degeneracy of the genetic code in two manners: having more than one tRNA (with a specific anti-codon) for a particular amino acid; and 'wobble' base-pairing, i.e. permitting non-standard base-pairing at the 3rd anti-codon position. The record is from Rfam by way of RNAcentral. Lineage: Eukaryota; Metazoa; Chordata; Mammalia; Proboscidea; Elephantidae.